UGUCCAGGAGCGGGAAUCGAACCCACAACCUUCUGCUUACCGGGCAGGUGCCAUGUCCACCAGACAGGUUUAACUGUAC
This is a non-coding RNA of Cordylochernes scorpioides, 79 nucleotides long. Lineage: Eukaryota; Metazoa; Arthropoda; Arachnida; Pseudoscorpiones; Chernetidae. The record is from the annotation of a GenBank genome assembly.